GAGGGUAUAGCCAAAGAGGAGCGGGUGCAGCAUUCUUGGCUCAGAAGGAGGGAUUCCACUCAGUCUUCCUCAUAUGGGUCAUUGUCUGACUACAGGUCAGGCGGCCUUUGUAUACAUACCAGUGUGGAGGGAUAAGGCACCGGCUAAAGAGUGCCUCAGGCACGGGCUGAACAGCUACACUUCAUGCUCUUAACACUCUCAUCUCCGUAAGCGAAGCCCAGUGGAUCCUCAGUGUGUAUGCACUUGGGGUGAGAGCUUGAAUCACAGAUGCCUUCUCUUACCACUUCUGCCACACACACACUCCCAGUCCCCUGUCCAGUAAGCUGUUCCCCUGACAGCUAGCUGGUACCCAAGGCCCCAUCAGAGAUACACAUGUAGCCUAGCCAGCCACUGCUCAGUGAUCCUGGGCACGAGUCAGAAGGCCAGGGACAGACCUAUGUGCUCUACGUCUUCUCAGAAUAGGACAUGGACUUGGUUCUUCUACUCUAGGCUGACAGAGCGACAAGGCGGCCAAUGCACUCGUGAUGUGGCAGUCAACCCCAUCCGACCCACUUCCUGUCCAGACACUUAGAGUGCAAUCCCCAGCAGGGAGAACCAGGCGGGCUUUCCUGCCCUGGAGGAGGGGUUCUUGGCCACUGGGGUUUGUGCCUGCACCUUGGGCACUGAUCAAAGUUGUAUGUUCAUGGCAAGCAUGUAAGUGACGUUAAACGUCAGAUCUGUUAGGAUCCGGGAGAGGGAGCGGCGUGUGAGAAAGGGAAGCGUUUCCUAGUUCAGUAUAUUUGAUACCGACGGAAGGAAUGUGCUGUCUGCCUGUGUGCCUGCACGCCAUGUGUGUGCAGUGCCAGUGGAGGUCAGAAGGGGGUGUUGGAGCCUCUAAAACUGAACAGCUGUGAGCCAGCAUUCAAGUGCUGAGAACUUAUCCCGGGUCCUCUGCAAGAGCGCAGUGGGCACUGAGACAUGGAGAAUAGUGAUCAGAAUUGCAGGUGUCCGGAGGCUGGGAAAUGCCGAAGGAGAGUUGAGGAGAGAUGGGUUCUGCGUGCCCCAUUUAGGAGCUCAAAGGUAAGCAGAGCCCAAAACACUGGCAAGGACACAAGCAGGGGUGGGCUGAGGACUGGCAACAGUUGCCAUCAGUUAUGGGGCAGUGCUGGUAGCUCCUCUCAAUGCAGUCAGAGGCUAGGGAGCCAGGAGUAACCUAAAGGAAAGGUCCCCCGAGAAGGGGGUAAUCCAGUACCAGAGCCUCCUCAUCUCUCUUCAUUUUUCCACCUCCCAGCUUCACCCCAAGGUUCCUGGGUGUGGGUGCUGGGGAAUCCCCUUAGCUGUCAUUCACUCUUCCUUCAUUCAUUCAUUCAUUCAUUCAUUCAUUCAUUCAUCCGCUUAGCAUCUUCUACCCUCUGGGUACCGCUCUAAGGACCGAGGAUAAAGGCAUCGUCAUUCUCCCGCCACUUGCACUCUAACAGGGCAAGGAGCAGCACAUGUAAUUAAUAAACGUUUGAAUAAGAUGUUAGGUUCCCAGUGUUGUGAAGAAAAAGCAGAACAAACUAUCUCCCCUCUCCUGGCAGCCUUUGUGAAGAGGACUUCUGGCGCUGGCCUCUCUCAGUCCUGGUGUGCGACCGUAGGGAUGGGUCAGAGAUACCUAGGGUGAGUCUCAGUCACCGAGGAGCUUGCAGGAAACGUAGAUUGAUUCUCUAGAUGAAAACUCGUGGACAGGACAUCCAGCAUCCUGGUGCUUCUGAAUGCUAACGGCAGGGAAAGGUGGGCUUUGAGGACCAGGACACACGGUGGUGUUCUACACAACAUCUGGGGGACUGUGAAUGUGUAGGCGGGCCAGGGUAUCCUAGUUUAGGCUGCUAAAAUAGAGGCCCAGCCAGGUAUGGCGGCGGCAUAUAUCUCUAAUACUCUAGUACUUGGAAGGCAGAGAUGGGAAAUUAGAAGAUCAAAUCUAGCCUGGAUUACACGAGACGAGACAAGACAGCCAGGUGUGGCGGCACGUGCCUACAAUCCCAGGGCUCAGGAAGCAGAGGCAGGAGGAUGGUCAAGUCCAGUCUGGUCUACAUGGCAAACUCCAGCCAAAAGGGCUAUAAAGCAAGAAAGUCUCAAAUAAAACGCAGGACAAGAAAAGACGUACCAUAAACUGGGUAUAUUAAGCACAGCAGGGAGUUAGUCUCGCAGUACUGCAUUCUGGGACGUUAAAUAUCAAGGCGGAGUUCGAGUCUGGCAAGGGCCUCCUUUCUAGUUUGGAGACAACAAAUUUUCUCUGAACCCUCACAUUGCACAAGGGUUCCUUGGCUUCUCUCCGGUUUCUUCUCUAAGGACAGUAUUUCCACCCCCCAUGAGGUCGACAACCUGAACACCUUCCAAAAGCUCCCCUACGACUUGAAUUCGGGGUAGGAUUCCAACCUUUGACCUCUGGGGUUGCAGAGAUUCGGUCAGUGCGGGAACUGACGACAAAUACUCUUGAGCUAUCGACCGGGCUCGGCGCCUCCUUUGGAUCUGGAAAGUCCCUCGAAUGCUUGUGUGGUGAAGGCUCGGCCCUCAGCUGCUGGGGAAAGCAGGCAGCAGCAGUAGGAACUCGCUGGGCCUACUUGGAGGAAGGAAGUCAUAGGCGCAUGUUCCUGGGACCUCGGCCUGCUCCCUCCCCAGUGUCUCUCUACCUCCACUAAGCCCUCCCACGAUGAUGUAUUUAUUGCCUUCCCACAAGUAGCUAGGCCAAGUGACUCUGGACUGAAACCCUGAAAUUGUUCGUCAAAAUAAAAGACUGGGCUGGGUGUGUUGGUGCCUGUCUUUAGUCCCAGCACUGGAGAGCCAGAGGCAGGUAGAUCUCCAGUUCAAGGUCAGCUUGAUCUACGGUAGUGAGCUUCAUAUAAGUUCCAAUAAAUAAAAUUUAAAAACAGAA
Molecule: non-coding RNA, 2893 nt
Organism: Rattus norvegicus (Norway rat)
Lineage: Eukaryota; Metazoa; Chordata; Mammalia; Rodentia; Muridae
Source: RefSeq, a predicted model, not a curated record